UCACAAAAUGAAGAUUUCGAUUCCUGAUUCUAAUCUCGAUUUGACAACUAUGAUCUAAUGUCAAUGUGACGUAAAGUAAGUGUAUCUUCUAGUGAUAUUUUGGAGUGUAUGGAUAACAGCUUAAAUAAUAAUGGGUUUUUGUGUCAAUUGAUAAUCUUCCCACUAAUAUAAACACUCUAUUCUUUGUCUGUAAUGAUGUGACAGGCUGGUUGGUACAUCAUGAUAAAAGAGAUCAAUUUCAGAAACAACAAAAUAUGAUUUCGCCCUCCCUUUUUCCUCCAAUACUUUAAUAAGCUUCCAGCAUGUAUUGUAAUGAUUAUGGAGUAUGUGUACUUUAAGAGAGAGAAGGCUCUAUCUAAUUUUAAAGCUCUGUGUUGCCAACACUGUUCAGCGUUCUGCAGCUGGGCACCAUUUAGCCAAUGCUAGGCAUAUUCCUUUUUGUUCUGAUCAUACUCUUCCUUUUGUUCUCUCCUUGCCACUGUGUUAUAAUUGUUCUUCCUCAGACCUGGAAACUUUAAGAUUUUCGA
Molecule: unclassified non-coding RNA, 527 nt
Filed under: Hevea brasiliensis (rubber tree)
Lineage: Eukaryota; Viridiplantae; Streptophyta; Magnoliopsida; Malpighiales; Euphorbiaceae
Source: RNAcentral